AACGCAAAUUGCGCCUUCUUUCGGAAGGCAUGUCUGUUUGAGGGCACCAUUUAACAAAUAAUGUGCGCGUCGUUUACGGACGACGUGCGCACGUUGAUGAGCUUUUCCGAAAAAACCAGGUUUUUUUGGUGGCGCAUAAUGAACAGCGUGGGCUUUUUCUUCGAUUCUCGUGUAGUAAAUCUUCAACGCUUGGGUUGAGAAAAAGUGCGUGCCGCGCAAUGGGUGUGGCGAAUUUUACCCCUGCCCCAAUGCCACUCUUUCCCUGCGAAAGAACAAUCUUUUAUUCAGGGCCUCAAAUCAGACAAGAGUACCCGCUGAACUUAA
RNAcentral lists this unclassified non-coding RNA (324 nucleotides) under uncultured Paraglomerales. Its description in RNAcentral is "sequence contains ITS2". Lineage: Eukaryota; Fungi; Glomeromycota; Glomeromycetes; Paraglomerales. The record is from RNAcentral.